ACCCCCUCAGGGUCACACCUGGAGAAUUUCCAGUCCUCUGCCAGUCUUGGCUAAGGGAGGGAGAGUCAAGCAGAGGCAUACCCAUUCUAUUCCUAGCUUGGCCAGUGGCUAGCAAAUGGAAGACAAUCUGGUACAAGU
This is a small nucleolar RNA of Tachyglossus aculeatus (Australian echidna), 138 nucleotides long. The record is from RefSeq and is a predicted model, not a curated record. Lineage: Eukaryota; Metazoa; Chordata; Mammalia; Monotremata; Tachyglossidae.